RNAcentral lists this transfer RNA (70 nucleotides) under Asymmetron lucayanum. Its description in RNAcentral is "tRNA-Leu". It matches the Rfam family "tRNA". Rfam says of the family: Transfer RNA (tRNA) molecules are approximately 80 nucleotides in length. Their secondary structure includes four short double-helical elements and three loops (D, anti-codon, and T loops). The record is from RNAcentral. Lineage: Eukaryota; Metazoa; Chordata; Leptocardii; Amphioxiformes; Branchiostomatidae.
ACUAAAAUAGCAAAAAGUAUUGCGUAAGGCCUAAGCCCUUUAGUUAUAGGUGCAACCCCUAUUUUUAGUG